Molecule: ribosomal RNA, 495 nt
Filed under: uncultured bacterium
Lineage: Bacteria
Description: partial 16S ribosomal RNA
Rfam family: Bacterial small subunit ribosomal RNA
Source: RNAcentral
GACGAACGCUGGCGGCGUGCCUAAUACAUGCAAGUAGAACGCUGAAGGAGGAGCUUGCUUCUCUGGAUGAGUUGCGAACGGGUGAGUAACGCGUAGGUAACCUGCCUGGUAGCGGGGGAUAACUAUUGGAAACGAUAGCUAAUACCGCAUAACAGUAGAUAUCGCAUGAUAUCUACUUGAAAGGUGCAAUUGCAUCACUACCAGAUGGACCUGCGUUGUAUUAGCUAGUUGGUGAGGUAACGGCUCACCAAGGCGACGAUACAUAGCCGACCUGAGAGGGUGAUCGGCCACACUGGGACUGAGACACGGCCCAGACUCCUACAGGAGGCAGCAGUAGGGAAUCUUCGGCAAUAGACGGAAGUCUGACCGAGCAACGCCGCGUGAGUGAAGAAGGUUUUCGGAUCGUAAAGCUCGGUUGUAAGAGAAGAACGAGUGUGAGAGUGGAAAGUUCACACUGUGACGGUAUCUUACCAGAAAGGGACGGCUAACUACGUG